Passer domesticus (house sparrow) is the source of this 3679-nucleotide long non-coding RNA. RefSeq lists it as uncharacterized. The record is from RefSeq and is a predicted model, not a curated record. Lineage: Eukaryota; Metazoa; Chordata; Aves; Passeriformes; Passeridae. The transcript has 3 exons.
CUGAUGACAGGUGCAGCAGUGCUCAAACAGUCUAUACCUGAUUCGUUUGAGAACCAGAUGCCCACUCCCAGGACACCCCAAAACAUCUUAAGAGCUGCCAUCACCAUCACUGCCCUCCUGUGCAUCCAAACAUCAGUCGGACAGGUCAUGCCAAAACCGAAAGAAAAUGUAUAGAUCACACAAGUGAAAUCUCUCAAACAAGAUAAUUUUUGCAUGGCCACGGGACGCGUGGAAGACCUGCUGUCUACAUGUCUGGUGGGAAUCCCCCUGUCACCAAGCAAAUACCCAUAUACAGGUAAGAAACCCACCCCAAUGUACACUUGGGAUGAUUGGAUGAAGAUUCUACCACAUGCACCACAAGAGCCCCAGCAACUAGACCUACUGGGCUCCUCAAAAGCGACUUACUGUGUAAACUUUUUCUGUGAACCACCCAAACAAAAUUGUCCGGAAAUAACUAAGCCACAGAUGAUUGUGAGAAAAGAUGUAUCUCCAAAUUAUAAAAGAUACAAGGUUGUUGAGUGCUGCAAUUAUACUGCUGAAACAUUGUCUAAGUCAUCUCCAUUUCCCAGAGUGCUCCCCAGGGCAGUGUUUCUCAUCUGUAGCGACAGGGAUCUCCUCGAAGAUCAAAGGGGGCCCCUGCAGCCUUGAUCAGCUUACCACCCUUACCCCAACACUACUCCAAUUAAAUAUUGGAAGUGAGAAACUCAACUGACAUGCCAAAAACUAUCAUACUCUCAAUUCAACCAAAAUUGUGAUGACCAAAUUUAUACCAGGGGCAAGAUGAAGAGGGUAGCUGUGUCCAUAUUUUUGCCAUGGGUCACAGCCGCCAAGGCUCUCGGUGAGCUUUCUCACCUGGAGUGCUGGCUCAGGAAGCAGACCAACGCUACGUCCACCACCCUAUCAGACCUCUUGGUGGACAAAGAAACCACCAGACAUGCCACCCUCCAGAACAGAGCGGCAAUCGACUUCCUGCUGCUUGCCCAUGGCCAUGGUUGUGAGGAUUUUGAAGGACUUUGUUGUUUUAACCUUUCUUCAAGAAGCACGUUGAUCCGAGGCAACAUCGAGCAAAUGCAAGACCAAAUGAAGACUCUUCUUACUUAUAAGAAGGCUGUGGACAUGAUGGACAAAAUGCUUAUGCAAUGGGGCAUUCCUGGGUGAGUGGCCCCCAUUCUUAAGUCUAUUCUUAAGAGUUUAUGGUGGGUCUUCCUCAUUGUUGCUAUAGUCUCAACAGUGCUGAAGUGUUUUAAGAAAACCGGAGACAAAACUUUAGGAAAUGUUUAUUUAAUAAAUAGAAAGGGGGAAGAUGUGGGAGACAGUCAUGGGAAUGAUGGGGCUGGAAUGCCCUGGGAGGACAGUGCCGUUUAGUUAGGGUGAGAGGCUGGCACAAAUCCCCAGGAGUCUCUGGUUGUUAAUUUGCUGUUGUCACUCAACUGCUGUUCAUCCCCCUGUUCUAGAGAGUUCUGUGCCCCCUCUUCCCCCACUGGCUCUCCCUGGGAGACCACCCCCUCUCUGCUCCCCCAUUGGUGGACCCCCAGUCACCCCAUUUCAACUCCUCCCCUGACUCCCUUCCCCACUGCAUGAUUUGUACCCUGACCCCUCCUACCUUCCCCCAGUGAUAUACCCUGGCCCAUCCCCUGCUGCUCGCUCUUGGCCCCUGAUUCCCUUCAGCAGAGCUUGUGCUCCUGUUUGUUCUCCUCACCCUCACCCCACCUGGACCCCUGGAUCUUCCCUAGACAAACCCUGCUGGAUCUGCCGAGCCAAGAGUGCCCUCGUCUGUCUGAUUGAGAUCGUGACAUAACUUAUAUGAGAAAGCUGGUGAAUGAGAGUUUGAAGAUUCUGCAGCAUGCUGAAGGCAAGUUCUCUGUGUAAACUUCCUAACAAAAUAAUUGGUGUCCAUGUGGCAAGAGCUCACUCAUGUGCCCCUUCCCUUAACAUCAGCUCCCACUGAGGCUGCCUGGCCAAGAGCAGCCCCAGGGGCACAGGGCAGAGGCAGAGCAAGUUCUCCACAGUAUUUGGGCAGCACUGCUCAGGACAGGACAGUGCUUUUUUAGUAGCUCGUGUAAAGAUUCAUGGUAACAGUGGUGUUGCAGGUCAAGCAAAUUUUCUGCAGAUCAGUGUUAAAACAAAUCCAACGGGAGGAAGGUGUGUCUUUGGCCUUGAGACUUUGCUCUUUGUGUGAGCCCUGCUCUGGAUUGAUUCCCAAUCAGUCUUGGAGCCGCUUUUGGGUGAAGGCUCAUCCCAGCCCUGAGCCUUGGCAGUUCUCUGGCCUCAAAGGGAGAGCUGAGGCUGCACUGCACAUGACUGGGGUUCAGGGCUCCAUCAUCAAAGAGCUUUGAGGUGUUUCAAUUACUGUAUUCUUACUAAAUGGUUUUCUUUAUGAAACUUGUUAAUUAGUUUUUAAGACUUAACUGUAAAAAAACUUAUUUUCCAGUGCUUUUUCCAGUUAUUUCAUAUAGUCAGUGAUGGCCUAAGUAUCCCAUGGCUGAAUUAGAAGACUGUAAGUAUUAUAAAAUGAUGUUGACACUCUUAUGUCUUUCACAGACUCUUGAAACUUAUGUUGAUGUGACCAACAGAAGUGUUUCGCUCUGCUUUUAAUUCAGACAAGCAGCGGAGCUGGAACCUGUUGAAGAGAGUCUCUCCACCGCUAAAGCGAACUGCCAGGGUUCUUUUUUUCCAGCUCUAAGCAGGACAAUAAAAAUCUCUCAGCAGUAAAUCCUCCUGACCAGUAACUGAUAUAAACUAGGCAUUUGGGCUGUUUGCUGCCUCACCCCUGAGUUCCUCAGAGCUGCAGCUCCCUGUUCUCUUGGCAGACAGGGGCUGGCUAUGGAUGACAGUCACGUCUCUGGCCUGGUGCACACCAGAUCCACACACGAGCUGAGGGAUCAUCCUUGCACACCCCAUCCUGGAAGAACCCAGGCCAGUGAUGAGUCUGACACAGUUUGAUGCAUGGCAGCAAAAGAAGGCAAAAUAAAGGCUAGAAUAGGUAUCAUCCCAACCACUUUACAUUCAGCUGUGUGUAAUGGAGACAGGGGCUACAAGUUUCCUAUUCAUGCACAAUUUGCUGUCUGAGAGCACUCAGUUCUCAAAGUCACAGGAUCUUGCCGGUCUGUGUCUGAGAUGACUGUAAAAACAUAAACAGACUUUAUGUGCUACACCUGUGUAUCAGAACUUCACAACAGAAAUCACAAACUGAUUCCGCUGUUAAGUAAAUUUAAAAAACCCAAAAACCACAAAACAAAAGCAAAACUGACCAAAUAAAUCAGGCAAACAAAACAAACACCAAGAAAAACCAAAACCAACAGAAAAAUCCCCACAAAUCCAGAAAAAGGUAAAAAUCAGGUGAAGGACGCAGAGAUCCAAGAGCAACAAAUGGGCAGAGCAACUACAAAACUGCAGAAAGGAAAGAUAAUAAGAAAGGAGACAUAAUAAGUGAGUAUGACACCAAACUAGCCAGGAGAUCUGAGAUACUGUUCUCACCCUUCUGGAAACAAUCUGACAUCAAAAUAAACUGAAAAUCAUUGAUGAUGAUUGUGAUAAUGGGAAUCUCCACGUUUAGGUUUCAUAUAUGCAUUGUGUGUGAGUUCUGUUUUCCUGUGAAGUCGCAUCAUCUGGCAAGGGGGCUUUUCUAUCCAAAGAAAAACACUGCAGUGGAAAAGGAGGCCAGCUUGGAAAAGAUUAA